RNAcentral lists this ribosomal RNA (1372 nucleotides) under uncultured bacterium. Its description in RNAcentral is "16S ribosomal RNA". It matches the Rfam family "Bacterial small subunit ribosomal RNA", at positions 32 to 1385 of the family's 1533-position model. The record is from RNAcentral.
AACGCUGGCGGCCGCGCUACACACACGCAAGUUCGAACGAACGAAGCCGGCGCUCGCACCGCGGACUCAUCGGCGAAACGGGUGAGUCAUCCGCGAGUGACCUACUCUUGACUUCCGGGAUAAGCCCGGGAAAACCGGGUUCUAAUACCGGAUACGACCAAUCUCUGCAUCGGGGUCGUUCGGUGGAAAGCGUUAUGGAGUCGGUUUUUAGAUGGGCUCACGGCCUAUCAGCUUGUUGGUGAGGUAAUGGCUUACCAAGGCGACGACGGGUAGCCGGCCUGAGAGGGUGACCGGCCACACUGGGACUGAGACACGGCCCAGACUCCUACGGGAGGCAGCAGUGGGGAAUAUUGCACAAUGGGCGCAAGCCUGAUGCAGCGACGCCGCGUGAGGGAUGACGGCCUUCGGGUUUGUAAACCUCUGUUAGCAUCGAAGAAGCGAAAGUGACGGUAGGUGCAGAGAAAGCGCCGGCUAACUACGUUGCCAGCAGCCGCGGUAAUACGUAGGGCGCGAGCGUUGUCCGGAAUUUAUUGGGCGUAAAGAGCUUGUAGGCGGUUGGUCGCGUCUGCUGUGAAAGGCCGGGGCUUAACUCCGGUUUUGCAGUGGGUACGGGCUAACUAGAGUGCAGUAGGGGAGACUGGAAUUCCUGGUGUAGCGGUGGAAUGCACAGAUAUCAGGAGGAACACCGAUGGCGAAGGCAGGUCUCUGGGCUGUAACUGACGCUGAGAAGCGAAAGCAUGGGGAGCGAACAGGAUUAGAUACCCUGGUAGUCCAUGCCGUAAACGUUGGGCACUAGGUGUGGGGGACAUUCCACGUUUUCCGCGCCGUAGCUAACGCAUUAAGUGCCCCGCCUGGGGAGUACGGCCGCAAGGCUAAAAACUCAAAGGAAUUGACGGGGGCCCGCACAAGCGGCGGAGCAUGCGGAUUAAUUCGAUGCAAACGCGAAGAACCUUACCAAGGCUUGACAUGCAUUAGAAUCGCGUCAGAGAUGGCGUUUCCCUUCGGGGCUGGUGUACAGGUGGUGCAUGGUUGUCGUCAGCUCGUGUCGUGAGAUGUUGGGUUAAGUCCCGCAACGAGCGCAACCCUCGUUCUAUGUUGCCAGCGGUUCGGCCGGGGACUCAUAGGAGACUGCCGGGGUCAAACUCGGAGGAAGGUGGGGAUGACGUCAAAUCAUCAUGCCCCUUAUGUCUUGGGCUUCACGCAUGCUACGAAUGGCCGGUACAGAGGGUUGCGAUACUGUGAGGUGGAGCUAAUCCCUUAAAAGCCGGUCUCAGUUCGGAUUGGGGUCUGCAAACUCGACCCCAUAAAGUCGGAGUCGCUAGUAAUCGCAAAAUCAGCAACGCUGCGGUGAAAUACGUUCCCGAGCCUUGUA